This 434-nucleotide ribosomal RNA is filed under the name uncultured bacterium. RNAcentral's name for it is "partial 16S ribosomal RNA". It matches the Rfam family "Bacterial small subunit ribosomal RNA", at positions 29 to 506 of the family's 1533-position model. The record is from RNAcentral.
AGCGAACGCUGGCGGCAGGCUUAACACAUGCAAGUCGAGCGGGCGUAGCAAUACGUCAGCGGCAGACGGGUGAGUAACGCGUGGGAACGUACCUUUUGGUUCGGAACAACACAGGGAAACUUGUGCUAAUACCGGAUAAGCCCUUACGGGGAAAGAUUUAUCGCCGAAAGAUCGGCCCGCGUCUGAUUAGCUAGUUGGUGAGGUAACGGCUCACCAAGGCGACGAUCAGUAGCUGGUCUGAGAGGAUGAUCAGCCACAUUGGGACUGAGACACGGCCCAAACUUCUACGGGAGGCAGCAGUGGGGAAUAUUGGACAAUGGGGGCAACCCUGAUCCAGCCAUGCCGCGUGAGUGAUGAAGGCCCUAGGGUUGUAAAGCUCUUUUGUGCGGGAAGAUAAUGACGGUACCGCAAGAAUAAGCCCCGGCUAACUUCGU